CGUAGUUGACCUGCCCUGAAGAGCGGGAUAACGUCUCGAAAGGGAUGCUAAUACCGCAUAAGCACACAGAGGUUAGAGGCUCAGGGUGAAAAGGGCGCUAUCGGAAGAUAGCGGCCGCUUCAGGAGGGGACUGCGGCCCAUCAGCCAGCUGGUGAGGUAGAAGCUCACCAAGGCGAAGACGGGUAGGGGGCCUGAGAGGGUGGUCCCCCACACGGGCACUGAGAGACGGGCCCG
RNAcentral lists this ribosomal RNA (234 nucleotides) under uncultured bacterium. RNAcentral describes it as "partial 16S ribosomal RNA". It matches the Rfam family "Bacterial small subunit ribosomal RNA", at positions 116 to 334 of the family's 1533-position model. The record is from RNAcentral.